GAGAGUGCAGGCGGCUUUCUAAGUCUGAUGUGAAAGCCUUCGGCUUAAACCGGAGAAGUGCAUACGGAAACUGGAUAACUUAGAGUGCAGAAGAGGGUAGUGGAACUCCGAUGUGUAGCGGUGGAAUGCGUAGAUAUAUGGAAGAACACCAGUGGCGAAGGCGGCUACCUGGUCUGCAACUGACGCUGAGACUCGAAAGCAUGGGUAGCGAACAGGAUUAGAUACCCUGGUAG
This 233-nucleotide ribosomal RNA is filed under the name uncultured bacterium. Its description in RNAcentral is "partial 16S ribosomal RNA". It matches the Rfam family "Bacterial small subunit ribosomal RNA", at positions 565 to 793 of the family's 1533-position model. The record is from RNAcentral.